This 460-nucleotide ribosomal RNA is filed under the name uncultured bacterium. RNAcentral describes it as "partial 16S ribosomal RNA". It matches the Rfam family "Bacterial small subunit ribosomal RNA", at positions 28 to 507 of the family's 1533-position model. The record is from RNAcentral.
GACGAACGCUGGCGGCGUGCUUAACACAUGCAAGUCGAGCGGUAAGGCCUCUUCGUGGGUACACGAGCGGCGAACGGGUGAGUAACACGUAGGUGACCUGCCCUCAGCUCUGGGAUAAGCCUGGUAAACUGGGUCGAAUACCUGAUAUGACCUUUCCUCGCAUGGGGGGUGGGGGAAAGUAUUUUCGGCUGGGGAUGGGCGCGCGGGCUGUCAGCUUGUUGGUGGGGUGAUGGCCUACCAAGGCGGCGACGGGUGGCCGGCCUGAGUGGGCGGCCGGCCAGGCUGGGACUGAGACACGGCACAGCUACCUACGGGAGGAAGCAGUGAGGAAUCUUGCGCAACGGGCGGAAGCUUGACGAAGCGACGCCGCGUGAGGGCUGCCGGCCUUCGGGUUGUAGACCUCUUUCGACACCGACGGAUUUGGACGGUAGGGGUAGAAGAAGCACCGGCCAACUACGUG